Molecule: ribosomal RNA, 492 nt
Filed under: uncultured bacterium
Lineage: Bacteria
Description: partial 16S ribosomal RNA
Rfam family: Bacterial small subunit ribosomal RNA
Source: RNAcentral
AGUGAACGCUGGCGGUAGGCCUAACACAUGCAAGUCGAACGGCAGCACAGUAAGAGCUUGCUCUUACGGGUGGCGAGUGGCGGACGGGUGAGGAAUACAUCGGAAUCUACUUUUUCGUGGGGGAUAACGUAGGGAAACUUACGCUAAUACCGCAUACGACCUACGGGUGAAAGCAGGGGAUCUUCGGACCUUGCGCGAUUGAAUGAGCCGAUGUCGGAUUAGCUAGUUGGCGGGGUAAAGGCCCACCAAGGCGACGAUCCGUAGCUGGUCUGAGAGGAUGACCGGCCACACUGGAACUGAGACACGGUCCAGACUCCUACGGGAGGCAGCAGUGGGGAAUAUUGGACAAUGGGCGCAAGCCUGAUCCAGCCAUACCGCGUGGGUGAAGAAGGCCUUCGGGUUGUAAAGCCCUUUUGUUGGGAAAGAAAAGCAGCAGGUUAAUACCCCGCUGUUCUGACGGUACCCAAAGAAUAAGCACCGGCUAACUUCGUG